This 305-nucleotide ribosomal RNA is filed under the name uncultured bacterium. RNAcentral describes it as "bacterial SSU rRNA". It matches the Rfam family "Bacterial small subunit ribosomal RNA", at positions 210 to 507 of the family's 1533-position model. The record is from RNAcentral.
GCCUCGCGCAGCAGGAUGAGCCGAUGUCCGAUUAGCUAGUUGGUGGGGUAAAGGCCUACCAAGGCGACGAUCGGUAGCUGGUCUGAGAGGAUGAUCAGCCACACUGGGACUGAGACACGGCCCAGACUCCUACGGGAGGCAGCAGUGGGGAAUAUUGGACAAUGGGGGCAACCCUGAUCCAGCAAUGCCGCGUGUGUGAAGAAGGCCUUCGGGUUGUAAAGCACUUUUAUCGGGAACGAAACACCGUGGGUUAAUACCCUGCGGGACUGACGGUACCCGAGGAAUAAGCACCGGCUAACUCCGUG